Gossypium raimondii (Peruvian cotton) is the source of this 142-nucleotide non-coding RNA. The record is from Rfam. Lineage: Eukaryota; Viridiplantae; Streptophyta; Magnoliopsida; Malvales; Malvaceae.
UAGUAAAAUUUCCAUCUAUCUCUAUUGUUAAAAACUGAUAUUGCUGACAAAAUAAUCAAAUAGUACGUGUGGUGCCAUGUGUACCUCAUUUUGAUGUACAAUGACCAAUUUUUAACAGUAAAAAUGGAUGAAAAUUUUACUA